GUGUCAGCCGCCGCGGUAAUACGGGGGGUGCAAGCGUUGUUCGGAAUUAUUGGGCGUAAAGCGCGUGUAGGCGGUUUGUUAAGUCUGUUGUGAAAGCCCUGGGCUCAACCCAGGAAGUGCACUGGAUACUGGCAGACUUGAAUACGGGAGAGGGUAGUGGAAUUCCUGGUGUAGGAGUGAAAUCCGUAGAUAUCAGGAGGAACACCGGUGGCGAAGGCGGCUACCUGGACCGAUAUUGACGCUGAGACGCGAAAGCGUGGGUAGCAAACAGGAUUAGAAACCCGCGUAGUCC
This 292-nucleotide ribosomal RNA is filed under the name uncultured bacterium. RNAcentral describes it as "partial 16S ribosomal RNA". It matches the Rfam family "Bacterial small subunit ribosomal RNA", at positions 505 to 796 of the family's 1533-position model. The record is from RNAcentral.